AGUAGGAGAGAGGAAUAACAUCGCGGGAGAGACAAAAAAGGCGGGAUCAGCCAGCAGCGGCUUCCCGCAGGUGCGAUUAAUUUGCAGUCUGGACAUGGAGGGGUGAACAUCUCCUGCUCUGACUGCAGCGCCAGGACUGGGCCGCCUGUGAGUGCUUUAGGACCGGGAGGACCCGCUCCUCGUUGAGAAGAGUGUUGGAGGGGGGGUGGUGUAUUGGACAGGCCAGAGAGGGCCCAUCUACAGGUGGUUCAUCGCCCCUUGAGUCAUCAUCUCCCCAACACCCAACCCAGCGUCCAGGCGCACCCUUGCUCAUUGCCCUACAACUCCGUCAACCUCCACCCCAUCUUCUCGACCCAGCUCCAAUGGCCGGAAGAGGAAGACAGCUGAGGAUCCUUUGGACACUGACAUUAUGGAUGACUUAAAGAAAUGGGAGGCACAGGAACAGAAUCAGUGGCAAGCAAAGGCUGUCUACGACAUCAUGGUACCAUGGAUGGUGUCUAUUCCUGCUGAUCAAAGUCUCCCGUUUGUCUCACACCAAAAACUGUUGUAUGAAUAAGAAAACAAAGCACACAACAUUAGGGUGGUGGGUAAUUUAGUCAUAUUUUUUGGCAUGUUUUUUAUAUUUAUUUCCUCAUUCACGUUACCGAUGUUUUACUUAGAUUUUUCUCUUAUUUCCACUUUUAACACACUUCACCUGUGAUUAGUAAAUAUCUAAAAGGUCUGCAAGUCUAUUUGUUUGGUUAUUUGUACUUGUGGCAGAA
Oncorhynchus mykiss (rainbow trout) is the source of this 761-nucleotide non-coding RNA. The record is from RefSeq and is a predicted model, not a curated record. NCBI's taxonomy places the organism in Eukaryota, Metazoa, Chordata, Actinopteri, Salmoniformes, Salmonidae.